UACGUAGGGUGCGAGCGUUGUCCGGAAUUCCUGGGCGUAAAGAGCUCGUAGGUGGUUUGUCGCGUUGUUCGUGAAAACUCACAGCUCAACUGUGGGCGUGCGGGCGAUACGGGCAGACUGGAGUACUGCAGGGGAGACUGGAAUUCCUGGUGUAGCGGUGGAAUGCGUAGAUAUCUGGAGGAACACCGGUGGCGAAGGCGGCAUCCUGGACCGACACUGACGCUGAGGAGCGAAAGCCAGGGGAGCAAACGGG
RNAcentral lists this ribosomal RNA (253 nucleotides) under uncultured bacterium. Its description in RNAcentral is "partial 16S ribosomal RNA". It matches the Rfam family "Bacterial small subunit ribosomal RNA", at positions 524 to 776 of the family's 1533-position model. The record is from RNAcentral.